GAUGAACGCUGGCGGCGUGCUUAACACAUGCAAGUCGAACGGUGAAGCAGGAGCUUGCUCCUGUGGAUCAGUGGCGAACGGGUGAGUAACACGUGAGCAAUCUGCCCUGGACUCUGGGAUAAGCGUUGGAAACGACGUCUAAUACCGGAUACGAGGCGUGGGGGCAUCCCCAACGCCUGGAAAGAACUUCGGUCCAGGAUGAGCUCGCGGCCUAUCAGGUAGUUGGUGAGGUAACGGCUCACCAAGCCUACGACGGGUAGCCGGCCUGAGAGGGUGACCGGCCACACUGGGACUGAGACACGGCCCAGACUCCUACGGGAGGCAGCAGUGGGGAAUAUUGCACAAUGGGCGCAAGCCUGAUGCAGCAACGCCGCGUGAGGGACGACGGCCUUCGGGUUGUAAACCUCUUUUAGCAGGGAAGAAGCGAAAGUGACGGUACCUGCAGAAAAAGCACCGGCUAACUACGUGCCAGCAGCCGCCGUAAAAC
RNAcentral lists this ribosomal RNA (487 nucleotides) under uncultured bacterium. RNAcentral's name for it is "bacterial SSU rRNA". It matches the Rfam family "Bacterial small subunit ribosomal RNA", at positions 28 to 526 of the family's 1533-position model. The record is from RNAcentral.